UCGAGAAUAAUUCACAAUGGGGGAAACCCUGAUGGUGCAACGCCGCGUGGAGGAUGAAGGUCUUCGGAUUGUAAACUCCUGUCAUCCGGGAGUAAGACCUGGCGGUAAAUAGCCGACAGGGUUGAUAGUACCGGAAGAGGAAGGGACGGCUAACUUCGUGCCAGCAGCCGCGGUAAUACGAAGGUCCCAAGCGUUGUUCGGAAUCACUGGGCGUAAAGGGUGCGUAGGCGGUUUGGUAAGUCAGAUGUGAAAUCCCGGGGCUCAACCCCGGAACUGCAUCCGAUACUGCCAGACUAGAGGACUGGAGAGGUGACUGGAAUUCUCGGUGUAGCAGUGAAAUGCGUAGAGAUCGAGAGGAACACUCGUGGCGAAGGCGAGUCACUGGACAGUAUCUGACGCUGAGGCACGAAGGCCAGGGUAGCGAAAGGG
Molecule: ribosomal RNA, 429 nt
Filed under: uncultured bacterium
Lineage: Bacteria
Description: bacterial SSU rRNA
Rfam family: Bacterial small subunit ribosomal RNA
Source: RNAcentral